UACGUAGGGGGCUAGCGUUGUCCGGAUUUAUUGGGCGUAAAGGGCGUGUAGGCGGCCAAGGUAGGUCUGCUGUGAAAACUCGAGGCUCAACCUCGAGACGUCGGCGGAAACCAUCUGGCUAGAGUCCGGAAGAGGAGAGUGGAAUUCCUGGUGUAGCGGUGAAAUGCGCAGAUAUCAGGAAGAACACCCGUGGCGAAGGCGGCUCUCUGGGACGGUACUGACGCUGAGACGCGAAAGCGUGGGGAGCGAACAGG
Molecule: ribosomal RNA, 254 nt
Filed under: uncultured bacterium
Lineage: Bacteria
Description: partial 16S ribosomal RNA
Rfam family: Bacterial small subunit ribosomal RNA
Source: RNAcentral